This 519-nucleotide long non-coding RNA is filed under the name Mytilus galloprovincialis (Mediterranean mussel). Lineage: Eukaryota; Metazoa; Mollusca; Bivalvia; Mytilida; Mytilidae. The record is from RNAcentral.
GGAAAAUUGUAAAUACUGUUUAAAUAAAAUCGACAAAUAUUAAUAUAUUCUUCACUUUCUAAGUUCCGAUCGACAAAUUCCAAUAAAGUUUUGGCAUGGAUCUAAUAUAGCUUACUGCUAGUAUUAAGUCUUGCGUGUAUUUGCCAAGUUUUUGUGUCAGUAAGGUGGAUCCACAGGUAGAUUUGUUUAUUUUGUUUGCCAAUACACUAGAUUGUUGUGUACGCCGCACGUGUAAAAUACUAUUACCUUGUUACCUCGGAAAUGACUUUCAAAUGAUCGAAGACUAAUCAUGUCCAAGAUUCAACAGAGAAGUAAGUAGAUAUCGUUUGUUUGUGUAAUUUCCAUGGAAACAUUAUAUAAAUCUGUGAACAAAAAAUGAAAAAGGAUAUAUUUCAAUUUCAGUGGGUCAAGCUUUAAGAAAACUAAAGAUUCGGAGACCAGGAAAUAAAAAUUCUGUUCGAAUACAACGAUCUCACAGCACUAGAUCAAGAAAAAGGCUUCAUUCAGCGAAUUCCCUGC